AUUGAACGCUGGCGGCAGGCCUAACACAUGCCAGUCGAGCGGAUGAAGGGAGCUUGCUCCUGGAUUCAGCGGCGGACGGGUGAGUAAUGCCUAGGAAUCUGCCUGGUAGUGGGGGGUAACGUCCGGAAACGGGCGCUAAUACCACCUACGUCCUGCGGGUGAAAGUGGGGGAGCUUCGGACCUCACGCUAUCAGAUGAGCCUAGGUCGGAUUAGCUAGUUGGUGGGGUAAAGGCCUACCAAGGCGACGAUCCGUAACUGGUCUGAGAGGAGGAUCAGUCACACUGGAACUGAGACACGGUCCAGACGCCUACGGGAGGCAGCAGUGGGGAAUAUUGGACAAUGGGCGAAAGCCUGAUCCAGCCAUGCCGCGUGUGUGAAGAAGGUCUUCGGAUUGUAAAGCACUUUAAGUUGGGAGGAAGGGCAGUAAGUUAAUACCUUGCUGUUUUGACGGUACCAACAGAAUAAGCACCGGCUAACUUCGUG
This 484-nucleotide ribosomal RNA is filed under the name uncultured bacterium. RNAcentral's name for it is "partial 16S ribosomal RNA". It matches the Rfam family "Bacterial small subunit ribosomal RNA", at positions 30 to 507 of the family's 1533-position model. The record is from RNAcentral.